GGAGAAUUGCUUGAACCUGGGAGGUGGAGGUUGCAGUGAGCUGAGAUCACGCCACUGCACUCCAGCCUGGGCAACAGAGCAAGACUUUGUCUC
RNAcentral lists this microRNA precursor (93 nucleotides) under Aotus nancymaae (Ma's night monkey). RNAcentral describes it as "miRNA (ENSANAG00000009079.1)". The record is from RNAcentral. Lineage: Eukaryota; Metazoa; Chordata; Mammalia; Primates; Aotidae.